GUCUUGUUGAUUAUAAUUUCAAGUCUGACCUGCCCAGUGAGGAGUUUAACGGCCGCGGUAUUUUGACCGUGCAAAGGUAGCAUAGUCACUAGUUUUUUAAUUGAAAGCUUGAAUGAAAGGUUUGAUGAAAAAGAGACUGUCUCUAUAAAAAUUUAUUAGAAUUUUAUUUUUAAGUCAAAAAGCUUAAAUUUAAAUAGAAGACGAGAAGACCCUAUAGAGUUUAAUAUUUUAUAAUUAAAGAGGUUUGUGGAAUUUAAAAUUUUUUUUAUUUAUAAAAAUAUUUUAUUGGGGUGAUGGAAAAAUUAGAUAAACUUUUUUUAUACAAAUACACUAAUUUGUGAACAAGUGAUCCUAAAAUAUAGAUUAUAAGAUUAAAUUACCUUAGGGAUAACAGCGUAAUUUUUUUUAGAGUUCUUAUCGAAAGAAAAGAUUGCGACCUCGAUGUUGGAUUAAAAUGAAUUGUUGGUGUAGAAGCUAAUGAGUUGGGUCUGUUCGACCUUUUAAAUUUUACAUGAUCUGAGUUUAAACCGGUGUGAG
Molecule: ribosomal RNA, 537 nt
Filed under: Trigonopterus sp. 661 AR-2022a
Lineage: Eukaryota; Metazoa; Arthropoda; Insecta; Coleoptera; Curculionidae
Description: partial large subunit ribosomal RNA
Rfam family: Bacterial large subunit ribosomal RNA
Source: RNAcentral